RNAcentral lists this ribosomal RNA (321 nucleotides) under uncultured Pseudomonadota bacterium. RNAcentral's name for it is "bacterial SSU rRNA". It matches the Rfam family "Bacterial small subunit ribosomal RNA", at positions 30 to 351 of the family's 1533-position model. Lineage: Bacteria; Pseudomonadati; Pseudomonadota. The record is from RNAcentral.
AUUGAACGCUGGCGGCAGGCCUAACACAUGCAAGUCGAGCGGUAGAGAGAAGCUUGCUUCUCUUGAGAGCGGCGAACGGGUGAGUAAUAUAUCGGAACGUGCCCAGUAGUGGGGGAUAGCCCGGCGAAAGCCGGAUUAAUACCGCAUACGACCUACGGGUGAAAGCGGGGGAUCGCAAGACCUCGCGCUAUUGGAGCGGCCGAUAUCAGAUUAGGUAGUUGGUGGGGUAAAGGCUCACCAAGCCAACGAUCUGUAGCUGGUCUGAGAGGACGACCAGCCACACUGGAACUGAGACACGGUCCAGACACCUACGGGUGGCAG